RNAcentral lists this ribosomal RNA (449 nucleotides) under uncultured Desulfobulbus sp. RNAcentral's name for it is "bacterial SSU rRNA". It matches the Rfam family "Bacterial small subunit ribosomal RNA", at positions 930 to 1382 of the family's 1533-position model. The record is from RNAcentral. Lineage: Bacteria; Pseudomonadati; Thermodesulfobacteriota; Desulfobulbia; Desulfobulbales; Desulfobulbaceae.
CGGUGGAGCAUGUGGUUUAAUUCGAUGAUACGCGAGGAACCUUACCUGGGCUCAAAUGUAUGUUGACGUAUUCUGAAAGGGAUACUUCUUCGGACAAUAUACAAGGUGCUGCAUGGUUGUCGUCAGCUCGUGCCGUGAGAUGUUGGGUUAAGUCCCGCAACGAGCGCAACCCUUGCCUUUAGUUGCCAGCAGUUCGGCUGGGCACUCUAAAGGGACUGCCGGUGUUAAACCGGAGGAAGGUGGGGAUGACGUCAAGUCCUCAUGGCCUUUAUGACCAGGGCUACACACGUACUACAAUGGCCGAUACAAAGGGCAGCGACACUGCGAGGUGAAGCCAAUCCCGUAAAAUCGGUCUCAGUCCGGAUUGGAGUCUGCAACUCGACUGCGUGAAGUCGGAAUCGCUAGUAAUCGUGAAUCAGAAUGUCACGGUGAAUACGUUCCCGGGCCUU